Manis pentadactyla (Chinese pangolin) is the source of this 801-nucleotide long non-coding RNA. RefSeq lists it as uncharacterized. The record is from RefSeq and is a predicted model, not a curated record. NCBI's taxonomy places the organism in Eukaryota, Metazoa, Chordata, Mammalia, Pholidota, Manidae. The transcript has 3 exons.
CUAUUUUCUCUUGCUCUCUGUUCCAGCGGCCUCCUAGGCCCAACGACCAGCAGCUCCUCCCACGAGCUGGCAUGUGGAUGUGGGGUGGUGGGAGGCAGGGCUGUGGGGCAGGGGCAGCUGGCUGGUGGGCUUGCUGGUUUUGAUCCUAAGCUGCAAUUUGGCUAAAAAUAAGGAGGAGGAAGAAGAAAGACUCAGAUGUCAACAAAAGGGGAAUGAAAGUACUUUGGACCUUGGAGUGUGAACGGGACUUGAGCUUACACUUUUCUAGCUGUGUUACCUGCGAAGGAGCUUCAAACCUUUGAGACUCAGUUUCCAACUUGAUGUUGAAGCAUCCUACCAUCCCUGGAAUGAAUGUGUGAUCCUUUUAAGGCCCACAGCUGGCACUCAAGACCUGGAGCAUGGUGUGAUUCAAGCUAUAUUUUCAUCCAUAGAUGUCUAGAGGGCAGAGGAUGGGUGGGAAAUGGUUGAGGGAGGAAGACCAGUUGGAAAAGAAUAAGUGUCUGAAAAAGGCAGGGGCCCUGAGGAUGGUGCAGAGAGGAAGUAUUUGUUAAAUACAUUUGCAAGUUCCCACAAAAUGUCAUGAAGUUUCUAGAGUGUAUUUAAUUGAGUUGGAAGAUUGCGGUCUCAUUUGUUCAAGUCUCUUGCCCUUCUAGAACCCAAAAUUCCUCAUCUGGAAAUAUGGAGUUUAAAAUACUAUUCCCUUAAUGAUUGCUAUAUUUCAAAAUAAGAUACAUCUUCUUAAAAAAGAAAAUGUUUCCAAACUUAAGACAAAUUAUGAAGUGUAAUGUAACCAAUACCCAU